This 297-nucleotide long non-coding RNA is filed under the name Elaeis guineensis (African oil palm). RNAcentral's name for it is "long non-coding RNA (EGUI_LNC027141)". Lineage: Eukaryota; Viridiplantae; Streptophyta; Magnoliopsida; Arecales; Arecaceae. The record is from RNAcentral.
GCGUUUAUUCACGCCAUUCGACCAUUCCGCGAGAGGAUCGUGUGGUAACGUUCCGUGCGGCCGUUUCGCGAACUCUCCACGUGUGGGCUGCAGUUCCGCGUGCCGUUCUCGCACACGAAGCUUCCGCGGUCGUCUGCACCUAUAAAAGACGCCCUCCUUUUCUCAGUUUUUGUACGAAAAAAAAUAUCGAGUCUUCUUAUCUUCAAAAAUUUUUCUUCUAUCUUCAAAAUUUUUUCUCUUUCGUUUAUUUUAUUGAUUGGGCUGAGGAUGAAGUUGAUCGGCAUCCGUUCAAGAUCG